GUAAAAAAUUUAUAAGAAUAUGAUGUUGGUUCAGAUUAAGCGCUAAAUAAGGACAUGACACAUGCGAAUCAUACGUUUAUUAUUGAUAAGAUAAUAAAUAUGUGGUGUAAACGUGAGUAAUUUUAUUAGGAAUUAAUGAACUAUAGAAUAAGCUAAAUACUUAAUAUAUUAUUAUAUAAAAAUAAUUUAUAUAAUAAAAAGGAUAUAUAUAUAAUAUAUAUUUAUCUAUAGUCAAGCCAAUAAUGGUUUAGGUAGUAGGUUUAUUAAGAGUUAAACCUAGCCAACGAUCCAUAAUCGAUAAUGAAAGUUAGAACGAUCACGUUGACUCUGAAAUAUAGUCAAUAUCUAUAAGAUACAGCAGUGAGGAAUAUUGGACAAUGAUCGAAAGAUUGAUCCAGUUACUUAUUAGGAUGAUAUAUAAAAAUAUUUUAUUUUAUUUAUAAAUAUUAAAUAUUUAUAAUAAUAAUAAUAAUAAUAUAUAUAUAUAAAUUGAUUAAAAAUAAAAUCCAUAAAUAAUUAAAAUAAUGAUAUUAAUUACCAUAUAUAUUUUUAUAUGGAUAUAUAUAUUAAUAAUAAUAUUAAUUUUAUUAUUAUUAAUAAUAUAUUUUAAUAGUCCUGACUAAUAUUUGUGCCAGCAGUCGCGGUAACACAAAGAGGGCGAGCGUUAAUCAUAAUGGUUUAAAGGAUCCGUAGAAUGAAUUAUAUAUUAUAAUUUAGAGUUAAUAAAAUUAAUUAAAGAAUUAUAAUAGUAAAGAUGAAAUAAUAAUAAUAAUUAUAAGACUAAUAUAUGUGAAAAUAUUAAUUAAAUAUUAACUGACAUUGAGGGAUUAAAACUAGAGUAGCGAAACGGAUUCGAUACCCGUGUAGUUCUAGUAGUAAACUAUGAAUACAAUUAUUUAUAAUAUAUAUUAUAUAUAAAUAAUAAAUGAAAAUGAAAGUAUUCCACCUGAAGAGUACGUUAGCAAUAAUGAAACUCAAAACAAUAGACGGUUACAGACUUAAGCAGUGGAGCAUGUUAUUUAAUUCGAUAAUCCACGACUAACCUUACCAUAUUUUGAAUAUUAUAAUAAUUAUUAUAAUUAUUAUAUUACAGGCGUUACAUUGUUGUCUUUAGUUCGUGCUUUAAUUAAUUAAUUAAUUUAUUUAUUGUUUAUAUUUAUUAAUAUUAAUAUAAUAAAAAUGUAAAAUACUUAAUAUUAUUAAUAUUAUUAUAUAUAAUAUAUAUAAUAAUAUAUUAUAUUUAUAUCUCCUUUAUUCCUUUUUCCCCCGAUGGGGACUUAUUAUAUUAUAUUAUUAUAUAUUUCUUCGAUAACUUUAUAUAUAUUUUAUUUUUAUAAAAAAUAUUUAUAUAUUAUUAUUUACAAUAAUAAUUAUUAAUAGUCCUUAUAUUAUAUUAUAUUUAUAAUUAUAUUAUAUAAUUUAUAUACUUUUAUAAUUCUUAUUAUUAUUUAUUUAUUAUUUAUUUAUUAUUAUUUAAAUAUAUUAUUAUUAUAUAUUAAUAAUAUAUAUAUUAUUUUAUAUAUUUUAUUUAAUAUAAAUUAUUUAUAUUUUUAUAUUUUAUUAUGAGGGGGGGGUCCCAAUUAUUAUUUUCAAUAAUAAUUUAUCAUGGGACCCGGAUAUCUUCUUGUUUAUCAUUUAUUAUUCUUAUUAUUUGGUUUUUAUUUAAUAUUAUAAUUUAUUUUAUACAAUUUAUUAUAUUGUUUAUACCUUAUUAUUAUUAUAUAAUUUAUUAUAUUAUUAUAAUAAUUUAAUUAAUUAUAUUAUAAAAUAUUAACUAAUGUGUGCUCUAUAUAUAUUAUUCAUUCUAGUUUCUAAUCUCCUUAUUUAAUUUAUAAUCCUUUAAAAAACUUUUAAUAAAUAUAAUAUAAUAUAAUAUAUAUAUAUAUUUAAUAAAUAAUCUGAUAUUAUAUUUUAUAAUUAAUUUUAUUUAUUUUAUUUAUUAUAUAUAUUAUUAUAUAUAAUUAAAAUUAUAAUUACAAUUAUAACUAUAAUUAAAUUGGAUUAAAUUAAAUUGGGCGCCAAGCCGGUUGUUCACCGACUUGAUCCCAAUAUAAUAUGAUAUAAUAUAAUAUACUAUAUGAUAUAACAUAAAUAUAAUAUAUUAUAUGAUAUAACAUAAAUAUAAUAUACUCCUUCGGGGUCCGCCCCCCGCGGGGCGAACCGGACUAUAUGAAUAUAUUAUUAUUAUUAUAAUUAUAAAAUUAUAUUAAAUAAAUAAAAUUUCUUUAAUAAUUAUUAAUUAAUAUUAUUAAUUUAUUUACAAAUAUUUUAUUAAUUUUUAUUUUUAUUAAAUAUAAAUAUAUAAAUAUAUAUAUUUAUUUAUAAUAUUAUUUAUAUUUAUUAUAUAUUAUUAUUAAAUAUAUUUUUAUUAUAUAUCAUUAAAUAUUAAUAUGUUAUUAUAGUGGUGGGGGGUCCCAAUUAUUAUUUUCAAUAAUAAUUAUUAUUGGGACCCCGGAUAUCUUCUUGUUAAUCAAUUAUUAUAUUAUUUAAUUUAUUUUAUUUCUUAUUUAUAAUUUAUAUUAUAUAAUUUAUUAUAUUGUUAAUACUUUUAUUUAUAUUAUUAAUUAUAUUAUAUUAUUAUAAUAUAUUUAAUUGAUUAUAUUAUAAAAUUAUAACUAAUGUAUGCUUUGUAUUUAUUGAAUAGUUUGGUUCUUAUCACCCACCCCCUCCCCCUAUUACUUAUAUAUUUGGUAAUUAAAAAUAUAAUAUUAAUUAUUAAAUAAAUAAUUAUACUUUCUCCUUUCGGGGUUCCGGCUCCCGUGGCCGGGCACAGGAAUUAAAAUCUUUUCUUGAUUAGCCCUAGUCUACGGUGGUUCAAUUAGAUUAGCACUACCUAUGUUAUAUGCAAUUGCAUUCUUAUUCUUAUUCACAAUGGGUGGUUUAACUGGUGUUGCCUUAGCUAACGCCUCAUUAGAUGUAGCAUUCCACGAUAUUAAUUUAAUAAGUGUCGUGCUUAAAAUUCACUAAAAUAAUAUAUAAUAAAUUAUAAUAAAUAUAUAAAAAAAAUAAAAAAAAUAAAAAAAAUUAAUAUCUUAUGAUUAAUUUUAUAUAAAUAAAAAUUUAUUAAAUAUUAUUGGUUAUAUAUAUAUAUAUAUUAAUAAUAAAAAAAUAUAUAUAUAUAUAUAGCUAACGGGGAAACUCUUAUAAUUAUUAUUUAUAUAAUAAAUAAGACAAUCCCGUGAUAACUUUAAUAUAUAUAUAUUAUAUAUUAAAGUAUUGUAGAGACUAAACGUGAAUGAUUUUAAUAUUAUUUAAAUAUUAAAAUUAAGAGAUAGUCCAAUCUUAUAUGUAAAUAUAAGUUAAUACCAAAAAAAAAAUAAUAUUAUUUUGACUUAUUAUAUAUUAAUAUUAUUAAUAAUAAUUUUAACUAAUAAUAAAGUUUUUAUAGAAACUUUAUAUUAUUAUUUAAUAUUUAAUUUUCAAUUAAUAUCUCCUUUUGGGGUUCCGGUCCCUGGUCCGGCCCCCGAAACUAAAGAUAUUAAGAAUUUAUAUGAAUCAAUUAUAAAUAAUUAUAUUAAUAUUUUAAAUAAAUAUCUUAUUAAUAUUAAUAAAGAUAAUAUUAAUAAAUUAAAAUUUUUAGAUAAUUAUACUGAAGAAGAAAAAGGUUAUUAUUUAUCUGGAUUAUUUGAAGGAGAUGGUAAUAUUUAUACUAGAUGUUUUUCAAUUACUUUUUCUUUAGAAGAUGUUUUAUUAGCUAAUUAUUUAUGUCUUUAUUUUAAAAUUGGUCAUAUUACAGCUAAAUAUAAUUCUCCUCCGGCGUCCGCCCCGCGGGCGGGCCGGACUAAUAAAGAAUUAACAGCUGUUAAAUGAAAUAUUAUAAAAAAAAAAGAACAAGAAGUAUUUAUAAAUUAUAUUAAUGGUAAAUUAUUAACAUAUAAAAGAUAUGACCAAUAUUUUAAAUAUAAUUUUAAUAAUCGUUUAAAUAUUAAAUUAUUAAAACCUAAAGAAUUUGAUUUACUAUUAAAUCCUUGAUUAACAGGUUUUAAUGAUGCUGAUGGUUAUUUUUAUCUAGGUUUUCAAAAACAUAAAAAUAGUCAAUGAUUAAAAUUUCAUUUAGAAUUAUCACAAAAAGAUAAUUAUAUUUUAGUCCGGCCCGCCCCCGCGGGGCGGACCCCAAAGGAGAUAUUAUUAAAAAAUAUUUUAAACUUGGAGGUAUUUUAAAAAGAGAUUAUAAAUCUGGUGCUACAGCUUAUAUUUAUAAAGCUCAAUCAUCAAAAGCUAUAAAACCUUUUAUUGAAUAUUUUAAUAAUUAUCAACCAUUAAGUCUUAGAAGAUAUAAACAAUAUUUAUUAUUAAAUAUUGCUUACUUAUUAAAAUUAAAUAAAUUACAUAUAUUACUUAAUUCUUUAUUAAUAUUAAAAGAAUUAAUAUUAUUACAAAGUGUUAAAAAGACUUAUUUAAUAUAUUUAAUAAUUUUAUUAUACUUAUUUAUAUUUUAUAAUUAAUAUAAAUAUAUUAUUAUUAAUCUUAUUCCUUCUUAAAAAGGGAACUUAUUUUUAUUAUAUUAUUUAAUCUUUAUUUAUAAUAUUAUAUAUUAUAUAUAAAUUAUUAUAUUUAAUGAUUAAAAAAAAAAAACCUCUAAUUAUUAUUAAUGUUAUAUAAAAUAUAUAUAUUCUCAUUAAUGUUAUAUAUAAUAUAUAUAUUCUCAUUAAUAUAUUAAUAUAGUAUAAAAAAAUAUAAAAUAUUUAAUAAUAUUAUUUAUAAUAAUAUUUAUUAAAAAUAAUAUAACAUAAUUAAUAUAAGAUUAUUAUUAUAUAAUAUAUUUAUUAUAUUAUAUAGUUCCGGGGCCCGGCCACGGGAGCCGGAACCCCGGAAGGAGAAAUUAUAAUAUAUUUUUUAAUAAUAUUCAUAUUUAUUUUAUAUACAAAUAAAUAUAUUUAUUUAUAAUAAUUAAAAAAAGAAUAAAUAAAUAUAUUAUUAUUAUACUUUAUUUAUUAUUUAUUAUAAUAAUUAUAUAUAACAAUUAUAAUAUUUAGUUCGUGCUGCAAAGUUUUAGAUUAAGUUCAUAAACGAACAAAACUCCAUAUAUAUAAUUUUAAUUAUAUAUAAUUUUAUAUUAUUUAUUAAUAUAAAGAAAGGAAUUAAGACAAAUCAUAAUGAUCCUUAUAAUAUGGGUAAUAGACGUGCUAUAAUAAAAUGAUAAUAAAAUUAUAUAAAAUAUAUUUAAUUAUAUUUAAUUAAUAAUAUAAAACAUUUUAAUUUUUAAUAUAUUUUUUUAUUAUAUAUUAAUAUGAAUUAUAAUCUGAAAUUCGAUUAUAUGAAAAAAGAAUUGCUAGUAAUACGUAAAUUAGUAUGUUACGGUGAAUAUUCUAACUGUUUCGCACUAAUCACUCAUCACGCGUUGAAACAUAUUAUUAUCUUAUUAUUUAUAUAAUAUUUUUUAAUAAAUAUUAAUAAUUAUUAAUUUAUAUUUAUUUAUAUCAGAAAUAAUAUGAAUUAAUGCGAAGUUGAAAUACAGUUACCGUAGGGGAACCUGCGGUGGGCUUAUAAAUAUCUUAAAUAUUCUUACA
RNAcentral lists this ribosomal RNA (5510 nucleotides) under Saccharomyces cerevisiae (brewer's yeast). The stretch from base 15 to 1137 matches the Rfam family "Bacterial small subunit ribosomal RNA". Lineage: Eukaryota; Fungi; Ascomycota; Saccharomycetes; Saccharomycetales; Saccharomycetaceae. The record is from RNAcentral.